AUUGAACGCUGGCGGCAUGCCUUACACAUGCAAGUCGAACGGCAGCACGGGGGUAACCCGUCGUGGCGAGUGGCGAACGGGUAGAGUAAUAUAUCGGAACAAUGCCCUCGUGGGCGGGGGAGUAACGCGUCGAAAGAAUGUGCUAAUACCGCAUACGCUCUACGGAGGAAAGCGGGGUUUUCGGGGUCAACUGAGGACCUCGCACUAUAGGAGUGGCCGAUAUCGGAUUA
Molecule: ribosomal RNA, 230 nt
Filed under: uncultured bacterium
Lineage: Bacteria
Description: partial 16S ribosomal RNA
Rfam family: Bacterial small subunit ribosomal RNA
Source: RNAcentral